This 253-nucleotide ribosomal RNA is filed under the name uncultured bacterium. RNAcentral's name for it is "partial 16S ribosomal RNA". It matches the Rfam family "Bacterial small subunit ribosomal RNA", at positions 524 to 776 of the family's 1533-position model. The record is from RNAcentral.
UACGUAGGCAGCAAGCGUUGUUCGGAGUUACUGGGCGUAAAGGGCGCGUAGGCGGUGCACCAAGUCAGGCGUGAAAGCCCCGGGCUCAACCCGGGAACGGCGCUUGAGACUGGUGCGCUCGAGUUCGGGAGAGGACGGCGGAAUUCCCAGUGUAGAGGUGAAAUUCGUAGAUAUUGGGAAGAACACCGAUGGCGAAGGCAGCCGUCUGGACCGACACUGACGCUGAGGCGCGAAAGCGUGGGGAGCGAACAGG